Molecule: long non-coding RNA, 2672 nt
Filed under: Salmo salar (Atlantic salmon)
Lineage: Eukaryota; Metazoa; Chordata; Actinopteri; Salmoniformes; Salmonidae
Description: lncRNA (ENSSSAG00000104656.1)
Source: RNAcentral
CCUUCAGUUUCAUAUCCCAACCCUUCAGUUUCAUAUCCCAACCCUUCAGUUUCAUAUCCCAACCCUUCAGUUUCAUAUCCCAACCCUUCAGUUUCAUAUUCCAGCCCUUCAGUUUCAUACCCCAACCCUUCUGUUUCAUAUCCCAACCCUUCAGUUUCAUAUUCCAACCCUUCAGUUUCAUAUCCCAACCCUUCAGUUUCAUAUCCCAACCCUUCAGUUUCAUAUCCCAACCCUUCAGUUUCAUAUCCCAACCCUUCAGUUUCAUAUCCCAACCCUUCAGUUUCAUAUCCCAACCCUUCUGUUUCAUAUCCCAACCCUUCAGUUUCAUAUCCCAACCCUUCAGUUUCAUAUCCCAACCCUUCAGUUUCAUAUCCCAACCCUUCAGUUUCAUACCCCAGCCCUUCAGUUUCAUAUCCCAACCCUUCAGUUUCAUAUCCCAACCCUUCAGUUUCAUAUCCCAACCCUUCAGUUUCAUAUUCCAACCCUUCAGUUUCAUAUUCCAACCCUUCAGUUUUAUAUUCCAACCCUCAUGAAAAAUGGAUGCCACUUCUCUGUUCUUCAUAAGCUACAGAAAGUCAUGAUUUUGCAAAAAAAGAAAAUAAGACAAAGGAGGAGAAAAACACAGGUCCUUGAUCUAUCUAGGGCUUUACCAGGGUCAGUCCCUAUUCUAGGGCUUUACCAGGGUCAGUCCCUAUUCUAGGGCUUUACCAGGGUCAGUCCCUAUUCUAGGGCUUUACCAGGGUCAGUCCCUAUUCUAGGGCUUUACCAGGGUCAGUCCCUAUUCUAGGGCUUUACCAGGGUCAGUCCCUAUUCUAGGGCUUUACCAGGGUCAGUCCCUAUUCUAGGGCUUUACUAGGGUCGGUCCCAAUUCUAGGGCUUUACUAGGGUCGGUCCCAAUUCUAGGGCUUUACUAGGGUCAGUCCCUAUUCUAGGGCUUUACUAGGGUUGGUCCCUAUUCUAGGGCUUUACUAGGGUUGGUCCCUAUUCUAGGGCUUUACUAGGGUUGGUCCCUAUUCUAGGGCUUUACUAGGGUCAGUCCCUAUUCUAGGGCUUUACUAGGGUCGGUCCCUAUUCUAGGGCUUUACUAGGGUCAGUCCCUAUUCUAGGGCUUUACUAGGGUUGGUCCCUAUUCUAGGGCUUUACUAGGGUCAGUCCCUAUUCUAGGGCUUUACUAGGGUCAGUCCCUAUUCUAGGGCUUUACUAGGGUCAGUCCCUAUUCUAGGGCUUUACUAGGGUUGGUCCCUAUUCUAGGGCUUUACUAGGGUCGGUCCCUAUUCUAGGGCUUUACUAGGGUCAGUCCCUAUUCUAGGGCUUUACUAGGGUUGGUCCCUAUUCUAGGGCUUUACUAGGGUUGGUCCCUAUUCUAGGGCUUUACUAGGGUCAGUCCCUAUUCUAGGGCUUUACUAGGGUUGGUCCCUAUUCUAGGACUAGACACACACACACACACAAACACACACACACACACACACACACACACACACACACACACACACACACACACACACACACACACACACACACACACACACACACACACACACACACACACACACACACACACACACACUCUCCCCAUAUCUCUCUCUCCCCAUUUCUCUCUCUCUCUCUCCCUCUCUCUCUUUCUCUCUUUCUCUCUCCCCAUAUCUCUCCCUCUCCCCAUAUCUCUCUCUCUCUCUCUCCCUCUCUCUCUCUCUCUCUCCCUCUCUCUCUCUAUAUAUACAGUGUUGUAACGCACAAAUGGUUAAAGUACAAAAGGGAAAAUAAAUAAGCAUCUCUCUUUCUGUCUCUCUGUCUCCCUCAUCUCUCUUUCUGUCUCUCUCUCUUUUUCGCUCUCUUAUUUAUUUCCUUCUCCCCAUCACUCUCUCUUCCCCCUCGCCCCUCGCUCUGUAUAUCUCUCUCUCUCUGUCUCCUUCGCUCUGUAUCUCUCUCUUUCCAUCUCUCUCUCUCCAUCUCUCUCUCUUAUCAGUCUUAGCCCUGUGGUCUCUGUGGCUAGCAGCAUUCUUUCAGAGGAGUUUUUAAUUCUUCAAGUCACACACACACAAACAUAAACCAACACACACACACACACACACACACACACACACACACACACACACACACACACACACACACACACACACACACACACACACACACACACACACACACACACACACACACACACACACACACACACACACACACACACACACACUCUGUUCCCUGAACUCUCUGAAGAUUCCUUUGUUCUCCGCUUAGACCUGAAUCAAAGGGACAGAGACAUAGUCAGCUUCACUAUGAAAAGAAAAGCUCCAAAGAUCUGCCACCGACAUAAAAUCCAUCACUAUUUCUUUCCCAUGUACUCUCUCCCUUUCUCUCUCUCUCCCUUUCUCUCUCUCUCCCUUUCUCUCUCUCUCCCUUUCUCUCUCUCUCCCUUUCUCUCUCUCUCCCUUUCUCUCUCUCUCCCUUUCUCUCUCUCUCCCUUUCUCUCUCUCUCCCUUUCUCUCCCUUUCUCUCUCUCUCCCUUUCUCUCUCUCUCCCUUUCUCUCUCUCUCCCUUUCUCUCUCUCUCCCUUUCUCUUAAGUCUCCUACCUCUCUCUGUAUCCCUGUUACUCCUCAUCCCCUCUCUCCCUUUCUCUCUCUCUCCCUUUCUCUCAAGUCUCCUACCUCUCUCUGUAUCCCUGUUACUCCUC